This 487-nucleotide ribosomal RNA is filed under the name uncultured bacterium. Its description in RNAcentral is "partial 16S ribosomal RNA". It matches the Rfam family "Bacterial small subunit ribosomal RNA", at positions 28 to 506 of the family's 1533-position model. The record is from RNAcentral.
GACGAACGCUGGCGGCGUGCUUAACACAUGCAAGUCGAACGGAAAGGCCCUGCUUUUGUGGGGUGCUCGAGUGGCGAACGGGUGAGUAACACGUGAGUAACCUGCCCUUGACUUUGGGAUAACUUCAGGAAACUGGGGCUAAUACCGGAUAGGAGCUCCUGCUGCAUGGUGGGGGUUGGAAAGUUUCGGCGGUUGGGGAUGGACUCGCUGCUUAUCAGCUUGUUGGUGGGGUAGUGGCUUACCAAGGCUUUGACGGGUAGCCGGCCUGAGAGGGUGACCGGCCAAGCUGGAGCGGAGACGCGGGCCAGAGUCCUACGGGAGGCAGCAGGGGGGAAGCUGCCGCAAAGGGCGAAAGGCUGACGGAGCACCGCGGGGGGAGUGAUGAAGGCCGUGGGAUCGUAAAGCGCUGUAAUUAGGGAAGAAAAUAUGUGUAAGUAACUGUGAAAACCGUGACGGGACCUAAACAGAAAGCCACGACUAACUACGU